RNAcentral lists this ribosomal RNA (509 nucleotides) under Glomus sp. Glo1. RNAcentral describes it as "SSU rRNA". It matches the Rfam family "Eukaryotic small subunit ribosomal RNA", at positions 569 to 1078 of the family's 1831-position model. The record is from RNAcentral. Lineage: Eukaryota; Fungi; Glomeromycota; Glomeromycetes; Glomerales; Glomeraceae. RNAcentral also lists the same sequence under 3 other names.
AGCAGCCGCGGUAAUUCCAGCUCCAAUAGCGUAUAUUAAAGUUGUUGCAGUUAAAAAGCUCGUAGUUGAAUUUCGGGAUCAAUGUUUCGGUCAUGCCGUUGGUAUGUACUGAUAUUAUUGGUUUCUCACCUUCUAAAGAACCGUAAUGCCAUUAAUUUGGUGUCACGGGGAAUUAGGACUGUUACCUUGAAAAAAUUAGAGUGUUUAAAGCAGGCUCACGCUUGAAUACAUUAGCAUGGAAUAAUGAAAUAGGACAUCCGAUUCUAUUUUGUUGGUUUCUAGGAUCGAUGUAAUGAUUAAUAGGGAUAGUUGGGGGCAUUAGUAUUCAAUUGUCAGAGGUGAAAUUCUUGGAUUUAUUGAAGACUAACUACUGCGAAAGCAUUUGCCAAGGAUGUUUUCAUUAAUCAAGAACGAAAGUUAGGGGAUCGAAGACGAUCAGAUACCGUCGUAGUCUUAACCAUAAACUAUGCCGACUAGGGAUCGGAUGAUGUUAAUUUUUUAAUGACUCA